GUGGGGUACCCACCCUCUCUCUGCCUCAGUUUCCUCCUCUGGGAGAUGGGGAUCCUUACAGGCCCUCCCUCUGACAGUGGGCCGAUGUGGGUGAAGCACCUGCAGCGCGCCCACUCUCGAAGAAUGCACCACGGACUCUCAAGACACGGCCGCCCAGCCUGCCUGCUGCAGUAGAGAUCAUAUGAUUGACAGAACGGAAGCUUUGUGACACCAAGAGCCCACCCACCAUGGACUGAUUCUGGCCGGUUUACAGAAGCUGUGCACUUGUGUGCCUGUGUGUCCUGAAAAGACCUUUUGAGUUAUGUUGGAAACGCCAUGAGCGUCUGCCUGCUUCACUCAGGACACUCACCAGUGAAGCCCUUGGCCACCAAUUCAAAGCUCUUGAGUGUCCUGAGACUGCCUGCUGCUUGGAAGCCCAGGGAAGUCCUGUGUGUUCUCCAUCCAAGCCCAAGUUCCUCUGCAGACCUGUGCAUGAUGGCACAUCCAGAAGAUUCCAACCCCCUGCUGUGAAUUUAAUCCCACUCCGUAAGGCUUCUCUGCAGUCCCCAGACAUCAGCAACCACCAGUAAGCUCUCUUUUCUGUGUCCUGCCUGAAUUCUUGUCCCUGUGAAGCAUUAGCAAAUUGAAAUGUUUGUUUUCUACCAGCAUUUGGGGGUUUAAUUUUGGGGGGAUAACAUGCUAGUAGGACAUUUCCAAGGCACAGAAGACUGCACACUGACAUCUGGACUUGUCUUUCCCUCUUCUGCGGCCUGCCAGCGUUUGCCUCUGGAAAUAACAACUGUUAAGUUUCUGCACAUCUUACCAGAUUUAUUAAUUGAACAAUCAUAUAGCAGUGACACCACAACAAAGCUUUUUAAAAGGGCUUUGGCUACCAGGGUAAAA
Molecule: long non-coding RNA, 882 nt
Organism: Rhinopithecus roxellana (golden snub-nosed monkey)
Lineage: Eukaryota; Metazoa; Chordata; Mammalia; Primates; Cercopithecidae
Exons: 4
Source: RefSeq, a predicted model, not a curated record